RNAcentral lists this ribosomal RNA (253 nucleotides) under uncultured bacterium. RNAcentral describes it as "partial 16S ribosomal RNA". It matches the Rfam family "Bacterial small subunit ribosomal RNA", at positions 524 to 776 of the family's 1533-position model. The record is from RNAcentral.
UACGGGGGGGGCAAGCGUUGUUCGGAAUUACUGGGCGUAAAGGGCUCGUAGGCGGCCAACUAAGUCAGACGUGAAAUCCCUCGGCUUAACCGGGGAACUGCGUCUGAUACUGGAUGGCUUGAGAUUGGGAGAGGGAUGCGGAAUUCCAGGUGUAGCGGUGAAAUGCGUAGAUAUCGGGAAGAACACCCGUGGCGAAGGCGGUUCUCUGGGACGGUACUGACGCUGAGACGCGAAAGCGUGGGGAGCGAACAGG